GAAUGGUGUAAUGACUGGAGAACUGUCUCGGGGACCUGCUCGGUGAAAAUACAAUACCGGUGAAGAUGCCGGUUACCUGCAGUUAGACGAAAAGACCCCAGGAGCUUUACUGCAACUUGAUAUUGAGAGUACGGUUACGAUGCGUAGCAUAGGUGGGAGACUUUGAAGUGCCGAUUUUGGUCGGCAUGGAGUCGUCAGUGAAAUACCACUCUUCUAGAUUGUAUUUUCUAACCUCGACGGAAAAAACGACGAGAAACAGUAUCUGGCGGGCAGUUUUAGUGGGGCGCUAUCCUCCUAAAAAGUAACGGAGGAGUCUAUUAAGGUCAGCUAGGCGCGAAUGGAAACCGUGCCGAUAGUGUAAUGGCACAAGCUGGCUUGACUGUAAGAGGUACAUCUCAAGCAGGUGGGAAACCAGAACAUAGUGAUCCGACCAUACGCAUUAGACGCGGUGGAAGCUCAACGGAUAAAAGCUUCGACGGCGGAGUUCGGCACCUCGAUGUCGGCUCACCUUAGCGCGGCGGUGGAGAAGCUGCCAAGCGUAUGGCUGUUCGCCAUUUAAAAAGGUACGCGAGCUGGGUUCAGACCGUGUGAGACAGGUUGGUCUCCUAUCUACUGCACUCGUUGAUUCUUGAGAAGAUUUGCUCCUAGUAGGCCCGGACGAGAGGACCGGAGUGAACUGACCUCUGGUGUACGAGCUCUAUUGCCAAAUGGACUGCUCGGUAGCUAUGUCGGGAUUGGAUAACCUCUGAAAGCAUCUAAGAGGGAAGCCAGCUUCAAGAUUAGGAAUCGUUAAGAACCGUGAGAGAUGAUCACGUUGAUAGGCUUUAAGUGUAAGCACAGUAAUGUGUUGAGCUGAGAAGUACUAAUGUUUCG
Molecule: ribosomal RNA, 873 nt
Filed under: Candidatus Nomurabacteria bacterium GW2011_GWE2_31_40
Lineage: Bacteria; Candidatus Nomuraibacteriota
Description: bacterial LSU rRNA
Rfam family: Bacterial large subunit ribosomal RNA
Source: RNAcentral